This 330-nucleotide unclassified non-coding RNA is filed under the name soil metagenome. RNAcentral describes it as "partial contains 5.8S ribosomal RNA, internal transcribed spacer 2, and large subunit ribosomal RNA". The stretch from base 1 to 120 matches the Rfam family "5.8S ribosomal RNA", at positions 35 to 154 of the family's 154-position model. The record is from RNAcentral.
GAUGAAGAACGUAGCGAAAUGCGAUAAGUAAUGUGAAUUGCAGAAUUCAGUGAAUCAUCGAAUCUUUGAACGCACAUUGCGCCCCUUGGUAUUCCGAGGGGCAUGCCUGUUCGAGCGUCAUUAUAACCCCUCAAGCUCAGCUUGGUGUUGGGGCCUGCUGCACUGGCAGCCCUUAAAAUCAGUGGCGGCGCCAUCUGGCUCUAAGCGUAGUAAUUCUUCUCGCUAUGGAGUCCUGGUGGAUGCUUGCCAUCAACCCCCAAUUUUUCUAUGGUUGACCUCGGAUCAGGUAGGGAUACCCGCUGAACUUAAGCAUAUCAAUAAAGCGGAGGA